CAUUAGCCAAGGGAAAUGUAAAUUAAAACUAUAAUGAGAUAUCACUACAUACUAUUAGAAUGGGUUAAGAUAAAAAAUUGUGAUGACACCAAAUCCUGAUGAGGAGACAGAGAAAUUGUGAUAUGUAUGGAUUGCUGGUGGGAAUGUAAAAUGGUGCAACCACUCAGGAAAACAAUGUGGCUAUUUCUUUUAAAACUAAAAUUGAACCUACCACACAACCCAUAAAUUUCACCUUAAUUAUUUGUCCUGGAGAAAUGAAAACUUGCAUUCACACAAAUCUUUUACAAACUGAGCCACAAAGGACCAGUCCUCAACAGCUCCACGCAGCACAAGAUAGCAAAAGAGCAGAGGACCAUGACACACAUCCAGUCUGCUUGCUGUACGAAGAAAUGGGAUGGAGCUCACUGGACUAAGUGAACAGUCAUGGUUUUGGACAAGUCAAGGGGAAGUAGGAGGCUUCAAAAUGGAAAUCCUGGACAUUCUGCUCUUCAGCAGUGGAUUACCUGGAAAAACAAAAGACAUGUGACCAUACAUGUUAUCUUAUAUUGAUGAAAUAGAUCAUACUGGACUAAACAGAACUAAAAAUAGAAACGCAUAGAAAAGAAUUCAUUGUUUCUGCUCAUUAGGAACUCUGGAAGGAGACAGCACCACAUGGCUGCCAUCUGGCAACACAGAGCAGCUGCUGCCAAAUAGGAGUGGAACCAUGUCAGAUUUAAGAUGCUGACACAACAAAUUCUGAUUCUAAGUGGCUUGGCCGGAUUCCUAUCUAUAGAUCAAGCAAGAUUUUCUGGCGUCAACCAAGUUGAGCGGCUGCCCUUUCACAAGAAGACUUUCAUCACCAGUAUUCCAUAAAGCAUCUUUGUCUCUUAUCUUUGCUACUCAAAUAUUUCAUUAAUUCUCUACAACUUCAGGACAAUGAAACAAGGGCCAGUGUGACUGGUAUCAUCCUCCCUACUUAUUCAUCAUUCUCAGCCUUCUGAGACUUUCACUGCUCUUCCUCAAUUUAUGUUUGUUCAUUAUUGUUACAAAGUUGUUAAACUCAAUACUGUUUAAUUAA
This is a long non-coding RNA of Leptonychotes weddellii (Weddell seal), 1057 nucleotides long. RefSeq lists it as uncharacterized. Lineage: Eukaryota; Metazoa; Chordata; Mammalia; Carnivora; Phocidae. The record is from RefSeq and is a predicted model, not a curated record.